GGGGCGGUAGCUCAGUGGUAGAGCACUUGCUUUGCAAGCAAGGGGUCAGGGGUUCGACUCCCCUUCGCUCCAC
Molecule: transfer RNA, 73 nt
Filed under: Phycisphaerae bacterium
Lineage: Bacteria; Pseudomonadati; Planctomycetota; Phycisphaerae
Description: tRNA-Ala
Rfam family: tRNA
About the family: Transfer RNA (tRNA) molecules are approximately 80 nucleotides in length. Their secondary structure includes four short double-helical elements and three loops (D, anti-codon, and T loops). Further hydrogen bonds mediate the characteristic L-shaped molecular structure. tRNAs have two regions of fundamental functional importance: the anti-codon, which is responsible for specific mRNA codon recognition, and the 3' end, to which the tRNAs corresponding amino acid is attached (by aminoacyl-tRNA synthetases). tRNAs cope with the degeneracy of the genetic code in two manners: having more than one tRNA (with a specific anti-codon) for a particular amino acid; and 'wobble' base-pairing, i.e. permitting non-standard base-pairing at the 3rd anti-codon position.
Source: RNAcentral